GCUACACAGGCUGUCGAAACGGCAUCUUGGGGACGACGAGUAAUUACAAAUAUAAGCACGCACUGGCAGAUGGAAAGCCUGGUCUAUGGCCAGAGUCAUGAGACAGGGAAGCUUUUACUUCCCCCACCAGCCUCUGUUUCUCGCUGACCGCUGAUUUCUCCUCAGUAACAGCACUGUGGAGCUAUGCUGGCAGCGUGUGGGCACCUUGCACUGCACACAGGGCUGUCUGUGUGCCAGCUCCAGUGUGAGAGCCUAAGACACGCUGUUGUGCAUCCUCACAAAAUGAACCGACGGCCUCAGCCUGAGGGCAGGAGGGGACAGACAUCUGCUUAAAGUUUAUCUCUUUGACAGAUUCCCAAAUGAAACUUCAUCUUUAAAAUACAACAUUUUGCCUGUGUAUCCUACUCAGAACGAAAGCUGACUGUUCAUGAAGGCUUCACUACUUACCAGUGUUUUGGAAGGGGAUUCAUGAUAGGAAGGAGGACUGCGUCUCCAGGAACUAACAGUUCUGCGUAGCCCAGUCACUUUUGUUCUGCGCUGAUAUCUUACAGAACAAACAGAGCCCAGAUGUUUUCAGUAAACAGCUUUCAAACCCCACAGUUGAGAUCGGUGUCAAAUUUCCAGCCACGUGACCAACCUUGGAGCCAAGUUUAGAGUUGCUUUUGUGUUUACAUAAAGUCUGCGAGCUGAAUGACAUUGAAGUUUGGAGGUGGAAUGGAAGUUCUCCAUAACAAAUAUUUGACAGGACACACGGUUUAUCUUAUUUACAGGACUUUGAGCUUUGAAAAUAAGGUUACCAUAUUUUGGUUGAUGUAAUGUUUGAGGAUUAUUCAGCUCUCUCUUGCUCCCUGGUUUUGGAACAGUUGUUGCUUUUUAACUCAGAGCUGUUCCUAUUCCAGCCAUUAAACUAGCAGGGGAAAACCCAGGCAUUUUAAAGCUGAGGGGAACAUUUUCUACAGAUGUUAAAUGAAAUAUUGUGUAUUGCUGGACAUUCUGGCUUGUCCAACUACAGAGAGCUCUGCUUACACCCAGGAAGCCCUCUUGCUGAAGGUCUAGUUGCCUGCCUGAGUUUUUGCUCAGGGACUUAGCAGCAGAAAUCUGGCUUCUGUUUUUACAAGCUUGGAAUUGACUUUGCGCAAACACUGCCCAGUAUCUGUUUACAAGUCACGUUUUCAGCUCGCAGCAAGAUCGCUGCCAUCAUUUGGAAAGAUCGGGCACCAGAAGGGUCAGAGUCGAGUCAAUACAAAUGUUAUUCAAAUGGGUACAAGAGUGGUGGAAAUAUUCUCUGUUUUUAGGACCCCAGAAUGUCUUUGCCAGCAUCAAACCUUGCUGCAUGGUGCUGUGCUCGGCCUUGUCUGCACAAAAUUGCUCUAACCAUGCUACUUGCUGUAACAGGCUGAGAGAGUUGGGCCUGUUCAGCCUGGAGAAGAGAAGGCUCAGAGGAGAUCUUUUAGCGACCUUCCAGUACCUGAAGGGGAUACAAGAAAGCUGGAGAGGGGCUGUUCAUAAAGGCUUGUGGUGAUAGGGCCAGGGGCAGUGGGUGUAAACUGGAGAAGGGCAGAUUUAGACUGGACAUUAGGAAGAAUUUCUUCACCAUGAGAGUGGUGAGACACUGGCACAGGUUGCCCAGGG
Long non-coding RNA from Cuculus canorus (common cuckoo), 1632 nucleotides. RefSeq lists it as uncharacterized. The record is from RefSeq and is a predicted model, not a curated record. The transcript has 3 exons. NCBI's taxonomy places the organism in Eukaryota, Metazoa, Chordata, Aves, Cuculiformes, Cuculidae.